This 253-nucleotide ribosomal RNA is filed under the name uncultured bacterium. RNAcentral's name for it is "partial 16S ribosomal RNA". It matches the Rfam family "Bacterial small subunit ribosomal RNA", at positions 524 to 776 of the family's 1533-position model. The record is from RNAcentral.
UACGAAGGGGGCUAGCGUUGUUCGGAAUCACUGGGCGUAAAGGGUGCGUAGGCGGGUCUUUAAGUCAGGGGUGAAAUCCUGGAGCUCAACUCCAGAACUGCCUUUGAUACUGAGGAUCUUGAGUUCGGGAGAGGUGAGUGGAACUGCGAGUGUAGAGGUGAAAUUCGUAGAUAUUCGCAAGAACACCAGUGGCGAAGGCGGCUCACUGGCCCGAUACUGACGCUUAGGCACGAAAGCGUGGGGAGCAAACAGG